This 253-nucleotide ribosomal RNA is filed under the name uncultured bacterium. RNAcentral describes it as "partial 16S ribosomal RNA". It matches the Rfam family "Bacterial small subunit ribosomal RNA", at positions 524 to 776 of the family's 1533-position model. The record is from RNAcentral.
UACGAGGGGGGCGAGCGUUGUUCGGAAUUAUUGGGCGUAAAGGGUGCGUAGGCGGUCGGCUAUGUCGGAUGUGAAAGCCUCGGGCUUAACCCGAGAAGGGCAUCCGAAACUGGCCGGCUUGAGUAUGGAAGAGGGUCUCGGAAUUCCCGGUGUAGAGGUGAAAUUCGUAGAUAUCGGGAGGAACACCAGUGGCGAAGGCGGAGACCUGGGCCAAUACUGACGCUGAGGUGCGAAAGCGUGGGGAGCAAACAGG